GACAAACGCUGGCGGCGUGCGUAACACAUGCAAGUCGAACGCACCGGUCUUCGGAGCGGUGAGUGGCGGACGGGUGAGGAACACGUGGAUGACCUGUCCCGACGUGGGGGAUACCUUUCAGAAAUGGGGGUUAAUCCCGCAUACGUCCGGAGCUUCACGCUUCGGGGAAAGCCUUUAGGCAACCGAGGGCGCGGUGGGAGGGGUCCGCGGCCGAUUAGCUAGUUGGUGGGGUAAGAGCCUACCAAGGCUGCGAUCGGUAGCUGGUCUGAGAGGAUGA
Molecule: ribosomal RNA, 277 nt
Filed under: uncultured bacterium
Lineage: Bacteria
Description: partial 16S ribosomal RNA
Rfam family: Bacterial small subunit ribosomal RNA
Source: RNAcentral